RNAcentral lists this ribosomal RNA (253 nucleotides) under uncultured bacterium. RNAcentral's name for it is "partial 16S ribosomal RNA". It matches the Rfam family "Bacterial small subunit ribosomal RNA", at positions 524 to 776 of the family's 1533-position model. The record is from RNAcentral.
UACGUAGGUGGCAAGCGUUGUCCGGAAUUAUUGGGCGUAAAGCGCGCGCAGGCGGUCCUUUAAGUCUGAUGUGAAAGCCCACGGCUCAACCGUGGAGGGUCAUUGGAAACUGGGGGACUUGAGUGCAGGAGAGAAGAGUGGAAUUCCACGUGUAGCGGUGAAAUGCGUAGAGAUGUGGAGGAACACCAGUGGCGAAGGCGACUCUUUGGCCUGUAACUGACGCUGAGGCGCGAAAGCUAGGGGAGCAAACAGG